Molecule: ribosomal RNA, 450 nt
Filed under: uncultured bacterium
Lineage: Bacteria
Description: partial 16S ribosomal RNA
Rfam family: Bacterial small subunit ribosomal RNA
Source: RNAcentral
GUGGGGAAUUUUGGACAAUGGGCGCAAGCCUGAUCCAGCAAUGCCGCGUGCAGGAAGAAGGCCUUCGGGUUGUAAACUGCUUUUGUACGGAACGAAAAGGCUCUGGUUAAUACCUGGGGCUCAUGACGGUACCGUAAGAAUAAGCACCGGCUAACUACGUGCCAGCAGCCGCGGUAAUACGUAGGGUGCAAGCGUUAAUCGGAAUUACUGGGCGUAAAGCGUGCGCAGGCGGUUUUGUAAGACAGACGUGAAAUCCCCGGGCUCAACCUGGGAAUGGCGUUUGUGACUGCAAAGCUGGAGUGCGGCAGAGGGGGAUGGAAUUCCGCGUGUAGCAGUGAAAUGCGUAGAUAUGCGGAGGAACACCGAUGGCGAAGGCAAUCCCCUGGGCCUGCACUGACGCUCAUGCACGAAAGCGUGGGGAGCAAACAGGAUUAGAUACCCGUGUAGUCC